GUGCGCCUUGAGCCUUUAAUAACCAUGUCAACUUCAAUUUGUGUUUAAAUAAGGUUAUUACUACCAAGUUCCAAUAGCUAUUCAUUAGGAUCUCUGAAGUGGCAAUCAAGAUUCUUUAAUUUAGUCAUGCAAGGUGGAAUAUAGGGCUUUAUUACUUAGCUACCAUGAAAAAAAUAAGGCCAAAUUUCUAUUGAAACACAAAAUAGUGAUCUUAUUAAA
RNAcentral lists this unclassified non-coding RNA (219 nucleotides) under Hevea brasiliensis (rubber tree). The record is from RNAcentral. Lineage: Eukaryota; Viridiplantae; Streptophyta; Magnoliopsida; Malpighiales; Euphorbiaceae.